Molecule: ribosomal RNA, 1294 nt
Filed under: metagenome
Description: bacterial SSU rRNA
Rfam family: Bacterial small subunit ribosomal RNA
Source: RNAcentral
CUUUUUCCAAUUAAAUCAUUUAUGGCUUCUGGAGGGGCUUGCGGCCUAUCAGCUAGAUGGUGGGGUAAUGGCCUACCAUGGCGACGACGGGUAGCUGGUCUGAGAGGACGAUCAGCCGGACUGGGACUGAGAUACGGCCCAGACUCCUACGGGGGGCAGCAAUUAGGAAUCUUGCGCAAUGGGGGCAACCCUGACGCAGCGAUGUCGCGUGGAUGAGGAAGGCUUUAGGGUCGUAAAAUCCUUUUAUCGAGGAAGAAACAAAUGACGGUACUCGAUGAAUAAGCCCCGGCUAACUCCGUGCCAGCAGCCGCGGUAAUACGGGGGGGGCGAGCGUUGUCCGAAUUUACUGGGCGUAAAGCGCGCGUAGGUGGAUUGUUAAGUCCGCUGUGAAAGCCCGGGGCUCAACCCCGGAGGGUCGGUGGAUACUGACAGUUUUGAAGUGGCUAGAGGGAAGUGGAAUUACCAGUGUAGCGGUGAAAUGCGUAGAUAUUGGUAGGAACACCAGUGGCGAAGGCGGCUUCCUGGGGCUAUCUUGACACUGAGGCGCGAAAGCUGGGGGAGCGAACGGGAUUAGAUACCCCGGUAGUCCCAGCCCUAAACGAUGGAUACUAGUUGUCGGGGGUAUCGACCCUUCGGUGACGUCGCAAACGCAUUAAGUAUCCCGCCUGGGGAGUACGGCCGCAAGGUUGAAACUCAAAGGAAUUGACGGGGCCCCGCACAAGCGGUGGAGCAUGUUGUUUAAUACGUCACAAACCGUAGAACCUUACCAGGGUUUGACAUGGGAGGCACCGGCGUGAAAGCGUCGUUCCGAGUAAUCGGACCUCUACACAGGUGUUGCAUGGCUGUCGUCAGCUCGUGUCGUGAGAUGUUGGGUUAAGUCCCGCAACGAGCGCAACCCUCAUCCUAUGUUGCCAGCAAGUGAAGUUGGGCACUCUUAGGAAACUGCCGAGGUAACUCGGAGGAAGGUGAGGAUGACGUCAAGUCAGCAUGGCCCUUAUAUCCUGGGCUACAAACAUGCUACAAUGGACGGUAUACAGAGGGAUCCCAAGGCGUGAGCCGGAGGCAAUCUCAAAAAUCCGUUCUCAGUUCGGAUUGUAGGCUGCAACUCGCCUACAUGAAGCUGGAAUCGCUAGUAACCGCAGGUCAGCUAAACUGCGGUGAAUACGUUCCCGGGGCUUGUACACACCGCCCGUCACGUCACCUGAAUUGUCUGCACCCGAAGCCGGUGGCUCAACCGCAAGGAGAGAGCUGUCUAAGGUGUGGGGAGUGAGGGGGACGAAGUCGUAACAAGGUA